RNAcentral lists this ribosomal RNA (129 nucleotides) under Aspergillus cristatus. The record is from RNAcentral. Lineage: Eukaryota; Fungi; Ascomycota; Eurotiomycetes; Eurotiales; Aspergillaceae.
ACAUACGACCAUAGGGUGUGGAAAACAGGGCUUCCCGUCCGCUCAGCCGUACUUAAGCCACACGCCGGCCGGUUAGUAGUUGGGUGGUGGGUGGGUGACCACCAGCGAAUCCCCCAGCUGUUGUAUCUU